This 660-nucleotide ribosomal RNA is filed under the name Micrococcus sp. Its description in RNAcentral is "bacterial SSU rRNA". It matches the Rfam family "Bacterial small subunit ribosomal RNA", at positions 105 to 780 of the family's 1533-position model. The record is from RNAcentral. Lineage: Bacteria; Bacillati; Actinomycetota; Actinomycetes; Micrococcales; Micrococcaceae.
GGUGAGUAACACGUGAGUAACCUGCCCUUGACUCUAGGAUAAGCCCGGGAAACUGGGUCUAAUACUGGAUAGGAACGUCUACCGCAUGGUGGAUGUUGGAAAGAAUUUCGGUCAUGGAUGGACUCGCGGCCUAUCAGCUUGUUGGUGAGGUAAUGGCUCACCAAGGCGACGACGGGUAGCCGGCCUGAGAGGGUGACCGGCCACACUGGGACUGAGACACGGCCCAGACUCCUACGGGAGGCAGCAGUGGGGAAUAUUGCACAAUGGGCGAAAGCCUGAUGCAGCGACGCCGCGUGAGGGAUGACGGCCUUCGGGUUGUAAACCUCUUUCAGUAGGGAAGAAGCGAAAGUGACGGUACCUGCAGAAGAAGCACCGGCUAACUACGUGCCAGCAGCCGCGGUAAUACGUAGGGUGCGAGCGUUAUCCGGAAUUAUUGGGCGUAAAGAGCUCGUAGGCGGUUUGUCGCGUCUGUCGUGAAAGUCCGGGGCUUAACCCCGGAUCUGCGGUGGGUACGGGCAGACUAGAGUGCAGUAGGGGAGACUGGAAUUCCUGGUGUAGCGGUGGAAUGCGCAGAUAUCAGGAGGAACACCGAUGGCGAAGGCAGGUCUCUGGGCUGUAACUGACGCUGAGGAGCGAAAGCAUGGGGAGCGAACAGGAUUA